Molecule: ribosomal RNA, 429 nt
Filed under: Gemmatimonadota bacterium
Lineage: Bacteria; Pseudomonadati; Gemmatimonadota
Description: Gemmatimonadetes bacterium partial 16S ribosomal RNA
Rfam family: Bacterial small subunit ribosomal RNA
Source: RNAcentral
UAGGGAAUCUUCGGCAAUGGACGAAAGUCUGACCGAGCAACGCCGCGUGAGUGAAGAAGGUUUUCGGAUCGUAAAACUCUGUUGUUAGAGAAGAACAAGGACGUUAGUAACUGAACGUCCCCUGACGGUAUCUAACCAGAAAGCCACGGCUAACUACGUGCCAGCAGCCGCGGUAAUACGUAGGUGGCAAGCGUUGUCCGGAUUUAUUGGGCGUAAAGCGAGCGCAGGCGGUUUCUUAAGUCUGAUGUGUAAGCCCCCGGCUCAACCGGGGAGGGUCAUUGGAAACUGGGAGACUUGAGUGCAGAAGAGGAGAGUGGAAUUCCAUGUGUAGCGGUGAAAUGCGUAGAUAUAUGGAGGAACACCAGUGGCGAAGGCGGCUCUCUGGUCUGUCACUGCCGCUGAGGCUCGAAAGCGUGGGGAGCAAACAGG